Molecule: ribosomal RNA, 484 nt
Filed under: uncultured bacterium
Lineage: Bacteria
Description: partial 16S ribosomal RNA
Rfam family: Bacterial small subunit ribosomal RNA
Source: RNAcentral
AUUGAACGCUGGCGGCAGGCCUAACACAUGCAAGUCGAGCGGAUGAAGGGAGCUUGCUCCUGGAUUCAGCGGCGGACGGGUGAGUAAUGCCUAGGAAUCUGCCUGGCAGUGGGGGAUAACGUCCGGAAACGGGCGCUAAUACCGCAUACGUCCUGAGGGAGAAAGUGGGGGAUCUUCGGACCUCACGCUAUCAGAUGAGCCUAGGUCGGAUUAGCUAGUUGGUGGGGUAAAGGCCUACCAAGGCGACGAUCCGUAACUGGUCUGAGAGGAUGAUCAGCCACACUGGAACUGAGACACGGUCCAGACUCCUACGGGAGGCAGCAGUGGGGAAUAUUGGACAAUGGGCGAAAGCCUGAUCCAGCCAUGCCGCGUGUGUGAAGAAGGUCUUCGGAUUGUAAAGCACUUUAAGUUGGGAGGAAGGGCAGUAAGUUAAUACCUUGCUGUUUUGACGUUACCAACAGAAUAAGCACCGGCUAACUUCGUG